Leopardus geoffroyi (Geoffroy's cat) is the source of this 1082-nucleotide long non-coding RNA. RefSeq lists it as uncharacterized. NCBI's taxonomy places the organism in Eukaryota, Metazoa, Chordata, Mammalia, Carnivora, Felidae. The record is from RefSeq and is a predicted model, not a curated record. The transcript is spliced from 3 exons.
CUCCCGGGAAGGGGCGAGGAGAGUAGCUGCAGCCUGGCCGCGCCGGCCUCCUGCUUCCUCAUGUCAGGAAUCCUGACACCUGCUAUAACGUGGAGGGACCCCAAGGACACUGUGCGCCACAGGACAGAAGGACAGAAGCCAGACACGGACAAAUCCUGCAUGACCCCACUCACAGGAGGUCCCUAGAGGAGUCCCAUCCACAGAGAGAGAAUUGGGCUGGGAGAGAAUGGACAACGAAAGCUGAGUGCAAAGAGGGAAGAUAGCCGAUUAAGAGAAAUAAGAGAGAACCCAAGAAGGCGAUUGCUGGCUCACGCGGUGACCUUGAGCUAAGAGAAAGCCCUGGACAGGAUGAGGCAUAGUUUAUUAUUUUUUUUUUUUUUGAAAGAAACGUAGGAGGAUAAGUUACCACCUGCGCUUGAGAGAUACAUGAGAACACCCCAGACAAAUCUAAAGAAUGAGUGCAGUUGCAAAAGAAGAGAAAUGAGUAGGCACAGACUUGCUGUCCCCAGUUAUGGGAAUGACCAAUAGAAGCUUCAAGAAGGACUGACACCGGUUCCAAGAUCUGAAGUGUGCACGGAGAUAGAGGGAAGGAAGAGGCAGGGUCUCUAGAACAUAGAGACCCAAAUUGUGAGCUGUGAACACCAGCGUCUCCAAGCUGAGCCUGUGGCUUGCCCAGCAUCCAGCUCAAGUACAUACCCCCUGUCCCGAUGUUCCCGGGCCCAGGCGGGAGGCGAAAUGCCAGCCUCUCAUCCCAACUCAGCAAGGAUGGGGUGACACCGAGGAAGUCACCCCCAUCUGGGGUGACCAAGUGUCUUAGGUCACCUGGAACUGUUCUAGUCAUAACCUGGAGAUCAGGACAUCUGGGCACCUGCCCCCCCCCCCUCUGUCUUCAUCUACCAGGAAGGGUCUGGAACAAUUCAGGGGUUCCCAAGGGGGUGCUGAGCAUGACGCCAGGGCGGGAACAACUUGUUUCCAGCCCCCCGACGAUGCCGGGGACAGCUUCAGCUUGGAGUCAACAUGUUCCUAAUGCCACUCUUAACUCUUGUCAGUGACUGUUUUCAAAAAGGGCGUGAACUGUGGGU